UGAGUAACACGUAUCCAACUGCCGCUUACUCGGGAUAGCCUUCGAAAGAAAGAUUAAUACCCGAUGGUAUAAAGAGUUCGCAUGUUCUCUUUAUUAAAGAAUUCGGUAAGCGAUGGGGAUGCGUUCCAUUAGAUAGUUGGCGGGGUAACGGCCCACCAAGUCUACGAUGGAUAGGGGGUUCUGAGAGGAAAGGUCCCCCCACAUUGGAACUGAGACACGGUCCAAACCCCUACGGGAGGCAGCAGUGAGGAAUAUUGGUCAAUGGACGAGAGUCUGAACCAGCCAAAAGUAGCGUGAAGGAUGACUGCCCUAUGGGUUGUAAACUUCUUUUAUAAGGGAAUAAAGUGAGGGACGUGUCCCUUUUUGUAUGUACCUUAUGAAUAAGGAUCGGCUAACUCCGUGCCAGCCGCGGC
Molecule: ribosomal RNA, 413 nt
Filed under: uncultured bacterium
Lineage: Bacteria
Description: bacterial SSU rRNA
Rfam family: Bacterial small subunit ribosomal RNA
Source: RNAcentral